CCUACGGGAGGCAGCAGUGGGGAAUAUUGCACAAUGGGGGAAACCCUGCUGCAGCAACGCCGCGUGAGUGAUGACGGCCUUCGGGUUGUAAAGCUCUGUCUUCAGGGACGAUAAUGACGGUAUCUGAGGAGGAAGCCACGGCUAACUACGUACCAGCAGCCGCGGUAAUACGUGGGUGGCGAGCGUUGUCCGGAUUUACUGGGCGUAAAGGGAGCGUAGGCGGACUUUUAAGUGAUAUGUGAAAUACUCGGGCGAAACUUGAGUGCUGCAUUUAAACGUGGAAGGCUAGAGUGCAGGAGAGGAGAAUGGAAUUCCUGGUGUAGCGGUGAAAGGCGUAGAGAUUAGGAAGAACACCAGAGGCGAAGGCGAUUCUCUGGACUGUAACUGACGCUGAGGCUCGAAAGCGUGGGGAGCAAACAGGAUUAGAUACCCGGGUAGU
This 439-nucleotide ribosomal RNA is filed under the name uncultured bacterium. Its description in RNAcentral is "partial 16S ribosomal RNA". It matches the Rfam family "Bacterial small subunit ribosomal RNA", at positions 338 to 794 of the family's 1533-position model. The record is from RNAcentral.